CCUACGGGAGGCAGCAGUCGAGAAUUUUUCUCAAUGGGGGCAACCCUGAAGGAGCGACGCCGCGUGGAGGAUGAAGGCUUUCGGGUUGUAAACUCCUGUCAUUUGGGAACAAGGUGCACAUGUUAACUGCAUGUGCAUUGAUAGUACCAGAAGAGGAAGAGACGGCUAACUCUGUGCCAGCAGCCGCGGUAAUACAGAGGUCUCAAGCGUUGUUCGGAUUCAUUGGGCGUAAAGGGUGCGUAGGUGGCGCCGUAAGUCAGGUGUGAAAUUUCGGAGCUCAACUCCGAAACUGCAUUUGAUACUGCGGUGCUUGAGGACUGGAGAGGAGACUGGAAUUCACGGUGUAGCAGUGAAAUGCGUAGAUAUCGUGAGGAAGACCAGUGGCGAAGGCGGGUCUCUGGACAGUUCCUGACACUGAGGCACGAAGGCCAGGGGAGCAAACGGGAUUAGAUACCCCGGUAGUCCUGGCAGUAAACGGUGCACGUUUGGUGUGGGAGGACUCGACCCCUUCUGCGCCGGAGCUAACGCGUUAAACGUGCCGCCUGGGGAGUACGGUCGCAAGAUUAAAACUCAAAGAAAUUGACGGGGGCCCGCACAAGCGGUGGAGUAUGUGGCUUAAUUCGAUGCAACGCGAAGAACCUUACCUGGCCUUGACAUGCAUCUCUAAGUUGGUGAAAGCCAGCGAGUCCCGAAAGGGACAAUUUGCACAGGUGCUGCAUGGCUGUCGUCAGCUCGUGUCGUGAGAUGUUGGGUUAAGUCCCGCAACGAGCGCACCCCUGUGAACUGUUGCCAUCCUCUUUAUUGGAGCACUCUGUUCAGACUGCCUGUGAAACGGGGAGGAGGGUGGGGACGAUCUCAG
This 859-nucleotide ribosomal RNA is filed under the name uncultured bacterium. Its description in RNAcentral is "bacterial SSU rRNA". It matches the Rfam family "Bacterial small subunit ribosomal RNA", at positions 338 to 1188 of the family's 1533-position model. The record is from RNAcentral.